CAGAGCUGCAGUAACAUGAAGGAUUUUGUCUGCUUCAAAACAAAACAAGAAAAGAAAAAAGGAAGAAACCCUACUCCUGUGCAAUUAUAAAAACUUCUUCCCUGUGAGAUGAUGGCCUGGAUGACCAGAGGGCACUGGAGGGCAGGACGUAGUGGAUAAGUGUGGUUGAAGUGACAGGCACAUGUGUGAAGGAAAGCCUGGUUCCAACAAAGCACAGACCGUCUGCCUUGUGAAGGGAGAACAAAGCCUCUUCCAGCCAGGGGGAGUGGUGGCCAAGAGCUGGGGGAGGAUAUGAGGCAGACAGACCCACAGUGAAGAAUGUUGUGAU
RNAcentral lists this long non-coding RNA (328 nucleotides) under Gallus gallus (chicken). The record is from RNAcentral. Lineage: Eukaryota; Metazoa; Chordata; Aves; Galliformes; Phasianidae.